This 594-nucleotide ribosomal RNA is filed under the name Erysiphe vanbruntiana var. vanbruntiana. Its description in RNAcentral is "eukaryotic LSU rRNA". The stretch from base 225 to 378 matches the Rfam family "5.8S ribosomal RNA". Lineage: Eukaryota; Fungi; Ascomycota; Leotiomycetes; Helotiales; Erysiphaceae. The record is from RNAcentral.
AUUACAGAGCGUGAGGCUCAGCCACGACAUCUGCCGCGUGCUGGGCCGACCCUCCCACCCGUGUCGAUUUGUAUCUUGUUGCUUUGGCGGGCCGGGUUGCGUCGAUGCUGGCCGCAAGGACAUGCGUCGGCCGCCCACCGGCUUCGGCUGGAGCGCGUCCGCCAGAGACCGAACCAAAACUCAUGUUAUCUUGGCAGUCUAAGCUUUAUUUAUUGAAUUGAUAAAACUUUCAACAACGGAUCUCUUGGCUCUGGCAUCGAUGAAGAACGCAGCGAAAUGCGAUAAGUAAUGUGAAUUGCAGAAUUUAGUGAAUCAUCGAAUCUUUGAACGCACAUUGCGCCCCUUGGUAUUCCGAGGGGCAUGCCUGUUCGAGCGUCAUAACACCCCCCCUCCAGCUACCUUUGUGUGGCUGCGGUGUUGGGGCUCGUCGCGGUGCGGCGGCCCUUAAAGACAGUGGCGGUCCCGGCGUGGGCUCUACGCGUAGUAACUUGCUUCUCGCGACAGGGUGACGACGGCGGCUUGCCAAAAGCCCAUUUGUUCCAGUCAUAUGGAUCCACAGGUUGACCUCGAAUCAGGUAGGAAUACCCGCUGAAC